UACGGGAGGCAGCAGUGGGGAAUAUUGCACAAUGGGCGCAAGCCUGAUGCAGCGACGCCGCGUGAAGGAUGAAUGUCUUCGGAUUGUAAACUUCUAUCAGCAGGGAAGAAUACCAUGACGGUACCUGACUAAGAAGCCCCGGCUAACUACGUGCCAGCAGCCGCGGUAAU
Molecule: ribosomal RNA, 170 nt
Filed under: uncultured Bacillota bacterium
Lineage: Bacteria; Bacillati; Bacillota
Description: uncultured Firmicutes bacterium partial 16S ribosomal RNA
Rfam family: Bacterial small subunit ribosomal RNA
Source: RNAcentral